RNA transcript from Ahaetulla prasina, 933 nucleotides. It is a transcript of the gene named eukaryotic translation initiation factor 1B, with no coding region annotated. The record is from RefSeq and is a predicted model, not a curated record. NCBI's taxonomy places the organism in Eukaryota, Metazoa, Chordata, Lepidosauria, Squamata, Colubridae. The transcript is spliced from 5 exons.
CACUGCAUUCCCCACCCCCCACCCCUAGUCGGGUCUUCUCUGCCCUCCAGGCUUCGUUGUUUGUUUGCAUUUUUCCCUAGUUUUCCCCCACUGCUGAACUUGAGAAAGUCCCGGGCAAAACCAGCCGCGGCCUUUUCCCCCUGAGCAGCACCCAGCCACAGAAGCGCAUGUCCACUAUCCAGAACCUCCAAUCCUUCGACCCCUUUGCUGAUGCAACUAAGGGUGACGACUUACUCCCGGCAGGGACUGAAGACUACAUCCAUAUAAGGAUUCAGCAACGGAACGGCAGAAAAACAUUAACAACUGUUCAGGGAAUUGCUGAUGACUAUGACAAAAAGAAACUUGUGAAAGCAUUCAAAAAGAAAUUUGCUUGUAACGGUACUGUGAUUGAACAUCCUGAAUACGGGGAAGUUAUCCAGUUGCAGGGUGACCAGAGGAAGAAUAUUUGCCAGUUCCUUUUAGAGGGCUUAUUAAUGAAGAUUUAUGAGGAUUUAUGCUGUUUGGAACGCACCGUUUUGGAUGAAAGUUAAUAAAUCAUGAAGUGAAAGUGUUAAUAGCCCAGCAGACUGAAUUUAAAACUGCUGCUGGGCGAGGUCAUCAGUGGUUUUGGGGUGAGUUAUCAACUGUACGCGGAUGACACCCAGCUGUACAUUUCCACCCCUGACCACCCCAAUGAAGCUGUUGAAGUGUUGUCUCGGUGUGUGGAGGCCGUACGGGUCUGGAUGGGGAGAAACAGGCUCAAGCUCAACCCCUCCAAGACUGAGUGGCUGUGGAUGCCGGCAUCCCGGUACAGUCAGCUGCAACCGCGGCUGACUGUUGGGGGCGAAUCAUUGGCCCCAAUGGAGAGGGUGCGCAAUUUGGGGGUUCUCCUGGAUGGACGGUUGUCCUUUGAAGAUCAUUUGCCGACCGUCUCCAGGAGAGCUUUUUACCAGG